GGAAUCUUCCACAAUGGACGAAAGUCUGAUGGAGCAACGCCGCGUGAGUGAAGAAGGGUUUCGGCUCGUAAAACUCUGUUGGUAGAGAAGAACGUUGGUGAGAGUGGAAAGCUCAUCAAGUGACGGUAACUACCCAGAAAGGGACGGCUAACUACGCGCCAG
Molecule: ribosomal RNA, 162 nt
Filed under: uncultured bacterium
Lineage: Bacteria
Description: partial 16S ribosomal RNA
Rfam family: Bacterial small subunit ribosomal RNA
Source: RNAcentral